RNAcentral lists this ribosomal RNA (1064 nucleotides) under uncultured bacterium. RNAcentral's name for it is "bacterial SSU rRNA". It matches the Rfam family "Bacterial small subunit ribosomal RNA", at positions 8 to 1064 of the family's 1533-position model. The record is from RNAcentral.
AGAGUUUGAUCCUGGCUCAGAUUGAACGCUGGCGGCAUGCCUUACACAUGCAAGUCGAACGGCAUCACGGGGGCAACCCUGGUGGCGAGUGGCGAACGGGUGAGUAAUACAUCGGAACGUGUCCUGUAGUGGGGGAUAGCCCGGCGAAAGCCGGAUUAAUACCGCAUACGAUCUACGGAAGAAAGCGGGGGAUCCUUCGGGACCUCGCGCUAUAGGGGCGGCCGAUGGCAGAUUAGCUAGUUGGUGGGGUAAAGGCCUACCAAGGCGACGAUCUGUAGCUGGUCUGAGAGGACGACCAGCCACACUGGGACUGAGACACGGCCCAGACUCCUACGGGAGGCAGCAGUGGGGAAUUUUGGACAAUGGGGGAAACCCUGAUCCAGCAAUGCCGCGUGUGUGAAGAAGGCCUUCGGGUUGUAAAGCACUUUUGUCCGGAAAGAAAACUUCUGCCCUAAUACGGCGGGAGGAUGACGGUACCGGAAGAAUAAGCACCGGCUAACUACGUGCCAGCAGCCGCGGUAAUACGUAGGGUGCGAGCGUUAAUCGGAAUUACUGGGCGUAAAGCGUGCGCAGGCGGUUCGUUAAGACAGAUGUGAAAUCCCCGGGCUUAACCUGGGAACUGCAUUUGUGACUGGCGAGCUAGAGUAUGGCAGAGGGGGGUAGAAUUCCACGUGUAGCAGUGAAAUGCGUAGAGAUGUGGAGGAAUACCGAUGGCGAAGGCAGCCCCCUGGGCCAAUACUGACGCUCAUGCACGAAAGCGUGGGGAGCAAACAGGAUUAGAUACCCUGGUAGUCCACGCCCUAAACGAUGUCAACUAGUUGUUGGGUCUUCAUUGACUUAGUAACGUAGCUAACGCGUGAAGUUGACCGCCUGGGGAGUACGGUCGCAAGAUUAAAACUCAAAGGAAUUGACGGGGACCCGCACAAGCGGUGGAUGAUGUGGAUUAAUUCGAUGCAACGCGAAAAACCUUACCUACCCUUGACAGGGAAGGAACCCUGCUGAAAGGUGGGGGUGCUCGAAAGAGAACCGAUACACAGGUGCUGCAUGGCUGUCGUCAGCUCGUG